This 657-nucleotide ribosomal RNA is filed under the name uncultured bacterium. RNAcentral describes it as "partial 16S ribosomal RNA". It matches the Rfam family "Bacterial small subunit ribosomal RNA", at positions 12 to 664 of the family's 1533-position model. The record is from RNAcentral.
UUUGAUCCUGGCUCAGNUNNNNNNNNGGCGGCGUGCUUAACACAUGCAAGUCGAUCGNUNNCNNGGGGGCAACCCUGGCGACGAGAGGCGGACGGGUGAGGAAUGCUUGGGAAUCUGCCCUUCAGCGGGGGACAACCCGGGGAAACUCGGGCUAAUACCGCAUACGCUCUACGGAGGAAAGCCGGGGACCGCAAGGCCUGGCACUGAAGGAUGAGCCCAAGUCGGAUUAGCUAGUUGGCGGGGUAACGGCCCGCCAAGGCGACGAUCCGUAGCUGGUCGGAGAGGACGAUCAGCCACACUGGGACUGAGACACGGCCCAGACUCCUACGGGAGGCAGCAGUGGGGAAUAUUGGACAAUGGGGGAAACCCUGAUCCAGCGACGCCGCGUGGGUGAAGAAGGCCUGCGGGUUGUAAAGCCCUUUCGGUAGGGACGAAAGCUCUCGACCUAACACGUCGGGAGGUUGACUUAACCUACAAAAGAAGCACCGGCUAACUCUGUGCCAGCAGCCGCGGUAAUACAGAGGGUGCGAGCGUUAAUCGGAAUUACUGGGCGUAAAGCGCACGCAGGCGGCUUGGUAUGUCGGGUGUGAAAUCCCCGGGCUCAACCUGGGANCUGNNUNCGAAACUGCCUUGCUCGAGUAUGGNAGAGGGAAGCGG